GCUAGGAUGAACGCUAGCUACAGGCUUAACACAUGCAAGUCGAGGGGCAGCAUGGUCUUAGCUUGCUAAGACUGAUGGCGACUGGCGCACGGGUGAGUAACGCGUAUCCAACCUGGCCCUCAGUAGGGGAUAGCCCGGCGAAAGUCGGAUUAAUACCCUAUGCACUCCUUUGCGGGCAUCUAACGAGGAGUAAAGAUUCAUCGCUGGGGGAUGGGGAUGCGUCUGAUUAGCUUGUUGGCGGGUAACGGCCCACCAAGGCUACGAUCAGUAGGGGUUCUGAGAGGAAGGUCCCCCACACUGGUACUGAGACACGGACCAGACUCCUACGGGAGGCAGCAGUGAGGAAUAUUGGUCAAUGGGCGAGAGCCUGAACCAGCCAAGUAGCGUGCAGGACGACUGCCCUAUGGGUUGUAAACUGCUUUUGUCAGGGAAUAAAGUGAGGGACGCGUCCCUUUUUGUAUGUACCUGAUGAAUAAGGACCGGCUAAUUCCGUGCCAGCCGCCGC
RNAcentral lists this ribosomal RNA (505 nucleotides) under uncultured bacterium. Its description in RNAcentral is "bacterial SSU rRNA". It matches the Rfam family "Bacterial small subunit ribosomal RNA", at positions 26 to 518 of the family's 1533-position model. The record is from RNAcentral.